AAAAAGUGCAGGAGGCUACAGAUUAUGUGUUAGGGACCAUUGCAGAGGUGUACUUAGUUCCUUAAUCUUAGGGUGUGUUUGGUUCGAAGUUGGAGUUGGAAUCGGAAUCGAAAUCAAAUUAAGCUGGAAUCGGAAUCGGAAUGACUCAUUACCUAAUUCUGUUUGGUUCAUCACCUGAAUCGGAAUCGGAAUAAAUCAAUCCCAUUGUCGGUGUUUGGUUCAGGUGGAUAUAAAAAACGUAAUCAAAUUAAUAUACUACCAUUAUCUUUAUAAUAUAUUAAUUUAAAUUCAAAUUAAAAAUUAAAUAUUAAAAAUUUACAUCAAAAAUUUGAAAUAAUGUCAAAAUUUUAAAAUUAUUUUUUUUUUUAAAAAAAUAAACUUUGAAGUUGAGUGGAUAAUUCAAAAUAUGAAACUAAAUUUUAAUUUAUUCAAAUUCAAACUUAAAAUUACAAUUUAAAUUUUAAUUUGAAUCCAUAAAUUUAAUUUAAGUUUGAAAUAAAAUUUGAAUAAAACUUUAUAUAAAUUAAAAUUUAAUUUAAAUUCAAAUUCAUAAGUUAGAUUCGAAAUACUUGAUUAAAUUUUAAUUUUUAAUUUAAGUUUAAAUUAAAAUUUAAAAUUAUAUAUUUAAUUUUUAAAUUUUAACUCAUAUUUUAAUUAAAAAAGUUGAAAAAAUAAAUUUAAUCCGAAUAAAUAUCCAUUCUGUCCGGAUUCAAUUUCAAUCCGGCCUGAUAGACCGGAUUGAAAAAAGAGGUGAUUGGGGGAUUCCCAUUCCACUCGGGAAUCGGAAUCGGAAUGAAACUUCCGCGUACCAAACACCCACAAACAGAUUUAUCCAUUCCGAUUCCGAUUUCAGGGUGAAAAAAAAGCGAACCAAACGCGCCCUUAGUGUGAAUAAACUGAUACCAUAUAAACUUUGACAUUUGCACAAGAUUUGAUUUC
This 939-nucleotide long non-coding RNA is filed under the name Ananas comosus (pineapple). RNAcentral describes it as "long non-coding RNA (ACOM_LNC016773)". The record is from RNAcentral. Lineage: Eukaryota; Viridiplantae; Streptophyta; Magnoliopsida; Poales; Bromeliaceae.